This 253-nucleotide ribosomal RNA is filed under the name uncultured bacterium. RNAcentral describes it as "partial 16S ribosomal RNA". It matches the Rfam family "Bacterial small subunit ribosomal RNA", at positions 524 to 776 of the family's 1533-position model. The record is from RNAcentral.
UACGUAGGGGGCAAGCGUUGUCCGGAUUUAUUGGGCGUAAAGAGCGUGUAGGCGGCCAGGUAGGUCUGCUGUGAAAACUCGAGGCUCAACCUCGAGACGCCGGUGGAAACCGUAAAGCUAGAGUCCGGAAGAGGCGAGUGGAAUUCCUGGUGUAGCGGUGGAAUGCGCAGAUAUCAGGAGGAACACCAAUAGCGAAGGCAGCUCGCUGGGACGGUACUGACGCUAAGGCGCGAAAGCGUGGGGAGCGAACAGG